AAGUCGAGCGGACAGAUGGGAGCUUGCUCCCUGAUGUUAGCGGCGGACGGGUGAGUAACACGUGGGUAACCUGCCUGUAAGACUGGGAUAACUCCGGGAAACCGGGGCUAAUACCGGAUGGUUGUUUGAACCGCAUGGUUCAAACAUAAAAGGUGGCUUCGGCUACCACUUACAGAUGGACCCGCGGCGCAUUAGCUAGUUGGUGAGGUAACGGCUCACCAAGGCGACGAUGCGUAGCCGACCUGAGAGGGUGAUCGGCCACACUGGGACUGAGACACGGCCCAGACUCCUACGGGAGGCAGCAGUAGGGAAUCUUCCGCAAUGGACGAAAGUCUGACGGAGCAACGCCGCGUGAGUGAUGAAGGUUUUCGGAUCGUAAAGCUCUGUUGUUAGGGAAGAACAAGUACCGUUCGAAUAGGGCGGUACCUUGACGGUACCUAACCAGAAAGCCACGGCUAACUACGUGCCAGCAGCCGCGGUAAUACGUAGGUGGCAAGCGUUGUCCGGAAUUAUUGGGCGUAAAGGGCUCGCAGGCGGUUUCUUAAGUCUGAUGUGAAAGCCCCCGGCUCAACCGGGGAGGGUCAUUGGAAACUGGGGAACUUGAGUGCAGAAGAGGAGAGUGGAAUUCCACGUGUAGCGGUGAAAUGCGUAGAGAUGUGGAGGAACACCAGUGGCGAAGGCGACUCUCUGGUCUGUAACUGACGCUGAGGA
This 711-nucleotide ribosomal RNA is filed under the name Bacillus sp. R130. Its description in RNAcentral is "bacterial SSU rRNA". It matches the Rfam family "Bacterial small subunit ribosomal RNA", at positions 59 to 752 of the family's 1533-position model. Lineage: Bacteria; Bacillati; Bacillota; Bacilli; Caryophanales; Bacillaceae. The record is from RNAcentral.